This 111-nucleotide ribosomal RNA is filed under the name Macaca nemestrina (pig-tailed macaque). The record is from RNAcentral. Lineage: Eukaryota; Metazoa; Chordata; Mammalia; Primates; Cercopithecidae.
GUCUAUGGCCAUAGCACCCUGAACACUCCUGAUCUCAUCUGAUCUUGGAAGCUAAGCAUGGUCAGGCCUGGUUAGUACUUGGAUGGGAGAAAAAAAAAGUUGACAUAAGUA